RNAcentral lists this ribosomal RNA (677 nucleotides) under Dujonia oleophila. RNAcentral describes it as "eukaryotic LSU rRNA". It matches the Rfam family "Eukaryotic large subunit ribosomal RNA", at positions 70 to 765 of the family's 3401-position model. The record is from RNAcentral. Lineage: Eukaryota; Fungi; Ascomycota; Pichiomycetes; Serinales; Debaryomycetaceae.
AGGGAUUGCCUUAGUAACGGCGAGUGAAGCGGCAAAAGCUCAAAUUUGAAAUCUAGCACUUUCAGUGUUCGAGUUGUAAUUUGAAGAAGGUAACUUUGGAAUUGGCUCUUGUCUAUGUUCCUUGGAACAGGACGUCACAGAGGGUGAGAAUCCCGUGCGAUGAGAUGUCCAAUUCUAUGUAAAGUGCUUUCGAAGAGUCGAGUUGUUUGGGAAUGCAGCUCUAAGUGGGUGGUAAAUUCCAUCUAAAGCUAAAUAUUGGCGAGAGACCGAUAGCGAACAAGUACAGUGAUGGAAAGAUGAAAAGAACUUUGAAAAGAGAGUGAAAAAGUACGUGAAAUUGUUGAAAGGGAAGGGCUUGAGAUCAGACUUGGUAUUUUGUGUUCCUUAUUCUUUUUGGAUUUGGUUCCUCACAGCUUACCGGGCCAGCAUCGGUUUGGAUGGUAGGAUAAUGACAUUGGAAUGUAGCUUUGCUUCGGUGAAGUGUUAUAGACUUUGUUGAUACUGCCUAUCUAGACCGAGGACUGCGUCUUUGACUAGGAUGCUGGCGUAAUGAUCUUAAGCCGCCCGUCUUGAAACACGGACCAAGGAGUCUAACGUCUAUGCGAGUGUUUGGGUGUAAAACCCGUACGCGUAAUGAAAGUGAACGUAGGUGAGAGCCUUUUAGGUGCAUCAUCGAC